GGCUCAUCAAUCUCUCAAUCUAACCCCAAAAAAGCCCUACCCCUUCACUACCCACCCCACCUAGUAAGAGCUUCAUUCUCGUUCUCCUCUCUUGGUAGCAAUCUAAUGAAAGCUAGAAAUCAAUUUCAUAAGAGCUUCAUUCAUAUAGCGCGUUCUCUUUUCCUUUUUCUCGCGAAGUCAAUUGUGUAAGGGCGCAAACCACUUCUCUGGAAUCCUCACCGCCGUGGUGCUCCCCCUCCGUCAAUUCCAGUAGUCUCGUCAUCCCCAUUGUUGUAUCCAUCACUGAGCCACUUCCCCGCCCUUCCUCCAUGAUUGCGCACACCACUUCAUUAGUCAAGAAUCAGAUUUGGGAUUUGUUUUCUACCUCGCACAAACAGAAAAGGAGCAGAAACAAGAAACACACCUCCGCGCUAGAAUAGUUGCCGACGUUCCCCUCUACCCGUCAGUACCGGCUGCAUUGUGCUUCCCUUGCCAGUGGGUCCAUGGCCGAUUUGCUCCCUCUUUCCUCUGGUUCUAUUCUCAGAACACAGGACAAAAGGGGGUGAAGCAAAGGAAAGGCCUGCAAGACGCACCGAUACCGCUGUGAAGAGUUGUCGCCGCAACGCGCUGCACCUCCAUUCUGGGUCUUUCCUAUCUGCAGAAUACUGCCAAAGCAGGAGAGAAGAAAAUAGGAAUGCAAUCAAGUGGUACUAAAGAAGAUAACAUAUUCUCCCUUACAAAGCAACUUUCUCUAAAUUCCUUUGGCAAAAACAAGUCUUCAAAUAGCUAGAUUAUUACGAUAACAAAAGCUAGUUUCUUAUUUAUUUCUUCA
Molecule: long non-coding RNA, 811 nt
Organism: Arachis stenosperma
Lineage: Eukaryota; Viridiplantae; Streptophyta; Magnoliopsida; Fabales; Fabaceae
Exons: 4
Source: RefSeq, a predicted model, not a curated record